AAACCAGCACCUCAAGUGGUCAGGAGGAUUAUUGGGCCUAAAGCAUCCGUAGCCUGUUCUGUAAGUUUUCGGUUAAAUCCAUUAGCUCAACUAAUGGGCCGCCGAAAAUACUGCAUAACUAGGGAGUGGGAGAGGUAGACGGUACUCGGUAGGGAGGGGUAAAAUCCUUUGAUCUAUUGAUGACCACCUGUGGCGAAGGCGGUCUACCAGAACACGUUCGACGGUGAGGGAUGAAAACUGGGGGAGCAAACCGGAUUAGAUACCCGAGUAGUCC
This 274-nucleotide ribosomal RNA is filed under the name uncultured bacterium. Its description in RNAcentral is "partial 16S ribosomal RNA". It matches the Rfam family "Archaeal small subunit ribosomal RNA", at positions 473 to 747 of the family's 1478-position model. The record is from RNAcentral.